GUCUUUUUGUUUAUAAUUUAAAGUCUAACCUGCCCAAUGAGUAAUUAAAUGGCCGCAGUAUUUUGACUGUGCAAAGGUAGCAUAAUCAUUAGUUUCUUAAUUAGAAGCUGGUAUGAAAGGUUGAACGAGAAAAUAACUGUCUCUUUAUAAUUUUUUUUGAAUUUUAUUUUUAAGUUAAAAAGCUUAAAUAUAUUUAAAAGACGAGAAGACCCUAUAGAGUUUUAUAUAAAAAAAGUUAGUAAUAGAUUUUGUAUUAGUUAAGUUUUAAAAUUUUUUAUAUUUAGUUGGGGUGAUAGGAAAAUUUAAGUAACUUUUUUUAUAUAAAAACAUUUAUUUAUGAAUUUUUGAUCCAUUAUUUAUGAUUAAAAGAUUAAAUUACCUUAGGGAUAACAGCGUAAUUUCUUUGUAGAGUUCUAAUCGAUAAAGAAGUUUGCGACCUCGAUGUUGGAUUAAAAUAUAAAUUUGGUGUAGAAGCUGAGUGUUUAGGUCUGUUCGACCUUUAAUAUUUUACAUGAUCUGAGUUUAAACCGGUGUAAGCCAGGUUGGUUUCUAUCUUUAAAAUGUGAAAAAUAUUUUAGUACGAAAGGACCAAAUAUUUAUAAUAUUUAUUUUUAUAAGGAUAUUAAU
This 627-nucleotide ribosomal RNA is filed under the name Chilodera sp. CHM1. RNAcentral's name for it is "partial 16S ribosomal RNA". It matches the Rfam family "Bacterial large subunit ribosomal RNA", at positions 1825 to 2742 of the family's 2925-position model. Lineage: Eukaryota; Metazoa; Arthropoda; Insecta; Coleoptera; Staphylinidae. The record is from RNAcentral.